GCCCACGAUUCGAAAGCCGCACACCAAACACGUUAGUUCGCUUCAAGUUUUCGUAAUGCUCCAAGCGAUCUGGUCGUAGAAAAUUAUCCGUACAGCACAAAUUGGUAUCAGUUAUUCAAAACGCGAUGAGCUACACAAACCUACUGCGCCAGCAGAAUGUGGUGGACGACUGCCAGCGAGUGAGCUGCAAUCGCAAUCCCACGGCCACGCUCUCCGGCCGCUGUGUGCUCAGCCGGGACAUCGUGAUCGGCUGCCGGAUGGAGCAGUGCGACCCGGACAUGCCCUACAUGCUGGAGCCCACGUGGGGCGUCUAUCUGCGCGCCGGUCGCGAUUGCGGCGACCUGUCGCGCUUCGUGCGGCGUGUCACGUUCAAGAUGUCGCCGCGCCUGCCGCUGCGACUGCACGUGGCGGACAGCGCUCCGUUCGAGAUCGGCGAGGUCCUGGGCACCGACUUUCCCGUGGAGGUGCAGGUGCAGUACACGGACGCCCGCAUGUCCGCCACCUCGUACAUCUUCCGGCCGCGGGUGGUGCGCGAGGGUCACGCCGGCAUCUGCGAGGAGGUCCUGGACAAGAUGAUCUUCGUCAAUCCCACGCCCUCCAUGCGACAGAGUCUGAUGCCCGUCCUCGCACCGCCAAGUGCGACUGCCAGUGGUCCGUCCAGCGCCAGGGAUUCCAGCCAGUCGGCGAUGGAGCUGCCCGUGCCGGAGCGACCGGGUGAGCGCAAGGAACAGGAUCGCGAGCAGGUGGGCGAUGUGGCGCGAUCGCCGCAGCCACCGGCCAAGCAGCUCAAGAAUCGCCUAAGUGUGGGCGUGCCCCACCCGCCCAUCGGGCAUCAGAAGCCCAAAUGGGCGGAAGGAACUAACGGAACUGAGAAGUGAGAACUGAGAAUGUUGGCUGUCAUGGCAUGCGAAGAUGUGUGCAGUUAUUUGAUUGGAAUUCGCUAAGUUUUGGCCAUACUAGGCCAAUUAUGAAUUUCAAAUUAAAGUAUAAUUCCUGGCUGACAUCUAAUCAAAGUCAACUCAAUGCUCUGUACAUACAUAUGUACAUAUGUACAAGGCAAGGUCGAGUACGCCCAUUUUGUGUGUAUGCCUCGUCCGGGGGUGGAUGAUGCUGCCCGAUGCUGCUGGAU
Drosophila santomea is the source of this 1129-nucleotide RNA transcript. RefSeq lists it as uncharacterized. The record is from RefSeq and is a predicted model, not a curated record. Lineage: Eukaryota; Metazoa; Arthropoda; Insecta; Diptera; Drosophilidae. The transcript is spliced from 2 exons.